Schizosaccharomyces pombe (fission yeast) is the source of this 1948-nucleotide non-coding RNA. The record is from the annotation of a GenBank genome assembly. Lineage: Eukaryota; Fungi; Ascomycota; Schizosaccharomycetes; Schizosaccharomycetales; Schizosaccharomycetaceae.
GAAGAAUCAACCAGAAGUUUCCUCCAAUUCGUUCGUAUGAAAAGUGUAAGCAGGAGAAAAAGAAAUUACAGAGAAAACGAAAAUUUUACAAGAGACAAUAAAGCAAAGCCAAGACAAAAUCGGUCGCUCUUUUUCCUCUCUUUCUUUUGUAUGUCAAUCCUGUAUGACUAAUUAUACAAAGGGUGGAUGGAAACGAACGACAAACGAGAACGAAGUCAGAUUUCUCUAGAGUGGAUUCUCAUUCAAACAGUGCUUGGUGAACAAUGUUGGCGAAGGUUGCACAAAGGCGUGAGGAAGAUGUGUUUGAAAAACUUCUACGAUGGUGGGAUUUGGAAGUUAAUCCAAACGAUUUCUUCCACAAGGUUCCGGUUCGUCUAUUUCAAAAAUUCUAAUGCAAUUAAGAGGAGGAAUAUGUUAAUGAUAGUCCAAUAUUCCUAGAAGCUCAAUUGCCUUUUUAUGUAGUACUAGUUGGUUCUUGUCAAGUUGGAUACGUGUCCCCGCCUUUUUGUAACAAGUGAGACCCCUUUCUGAAAGCUCGUUAUUUAAUGUUCGUGGGGGACGUCAAAAAAAGUGACUUUUUUAACUGUGGGGUGAAUAGCUUUCAUUGGUCCAUGUGCCCUUCAAUUUGAUAAAUGAAUGCGGAGCAACGGCAACCAUUGCAUGCGGCUAGAGGCUUUUUCCUAGUCAUAGGUCACAAGAGAUGACAGAUGCGUUGCGUUUAUCAAUCAAUUCUACCUCUCCUCCACUUCUACACGGGGUCGUUAACAUUCGCUACGAUUCGCUAUCGAAAAAUUAGGCGAUUGCGGGACCUAGUCACAUAUAGGCAAUUUGCAUGGGGUCAUCCAAAAGUACCGGAUGAGGGAUGGAUCAAACGAUCAACGAUUUCUGACGCAGGCAAUUGGGAUGUAGAGGAGAUAUUCUCUGUAAAAGGCAAUAAAGGAUGAUUAAGUUAAUUAAACACCUAUCUCCUCAUCCCGAAAAAGAAAACAAAUGGCGUCGGGUUCUUUUUCUGCCUGCCCGUCCUCCUUUGUUUGUACAUCCACCAAUCCUUGCUCCACUCUUCUCCAUCCUCACAAUACCAAUGGAUCCAUGACAUGACGUCCUUUUCGUUUUUACCACGUUGUAUGGUGCACUCUAAUACUGCACGCCCGAACAUUGCUGGUCUUAAAAAAGGAUAACAAACGAAUAACGUUGCCCCUCCAAUCAGCUAUGCCGGAUUUUAUAACGUCGUGCACGCAUGCUAUUCGUUAUAUUUCCUUUUCCAACUAUUGACAAGCCCUUACAACCAUAGCAACCAUCCAUUCAUAAGCCAUUGAACAGCCAUAUAGUGACAUUCAUCCACGUACCGUAUAAAUGCAUCAACAAAAUAUACAGUAUUGCCCAGAAACUCGAUGCUACUAAUAACGAAUCGUUAUAUGGAAGCAGAGAGAACUCGCUGUUCGAGUGUGUGUUUUACUGAAGGAUAAGAAUUGAACAAAGUCCACGUCGUCUUCUCAAUCACUAUACCCACAGUAUUUACUAGCCGAUUUAUUCGCUUCCCUCUUUAAUUCUGCUGGAAAAGCCCAUUUUCGGCUAUGACUACUUUCGGAUAAGGUUGCUGAUGGUUAUUGCAUUUUAACAUCUGGCGUUCACACCAUUCAAGCAUAUGACGACGAUAAUCGAAGCACAAAUGCCGCCCAUUGUGUCAAUCAGAUCAACGACAAAAGCGCGGGACCGCUCGUAACGAUCGUUAGUGCUUAAGACGGAGACAAUUUCUAUAUAACGAAAGAUUUUUAAACGUUAAAACCGUUGUCUCUUAUACAGCCAUCAAUUAUAGUGAAUAAAUGUGCUAGCAAACAUUAUAUAUAUAUAUAUAUAUUUAUAUAUUCCAUUACCGUGUUUACAUGUCUUUCCCACAUUUAAUAUAAUUUAUUUACUCACAAAAAUGCAUAUUUUUAAAUUCAUCACC